AAAACGACUCUCGACAACGGAUAUCUCGGCUCUCGCAUCGAUGAAGAACGUAGCGAAAUGCGAUACUUGGUGUGAAUUGCAGAAUCCCGUGAACCAUCGAGUCUUUGAACGCAAGUUGCGCCCUAAGCCUUUCGGCCGAGGGCACGUCUGCCUGGG
This 156-nucleotide ribosomal RNA is filed under the name Didymophysa fedtschenkoana. RNAcentral's name for it is "5.8S ribosomal RNA". It matches the Rfam family "5.8S ribosomal RNA". Rfam says of the family: 5.8S ribosomal RNA (5.8S rRNA) is a component of the large subunit of the eukaryotic ribosome. It is transcribed by RNA polymerase I as part of the 45S precursor that also contains 18S and 28S rRNA. Lineage: Eukaryota; Viridiplantae; Streptophyta; Magnoliopsida; Brassicales; Brassicaceae. The record is from RNAcentral.